CUUGCUCUCGGGUGACGAGCGGCGGACGGGUGAGUAAUGUCUGGGAAACUGCCUGAUGGAGGGGGAUAACUACUGGAAACGGUAGCUAAUACCGCAUAACGUCGCAAGACCAAAGUGGGGGACCUUCGGGCCUCAUGCCAUCAGAUGUGCCCAGAUGGGAUUAGCUAGUAGGUGGGGUAACGGCUCACCUAGGCGACGAUCCCUAGCUGGUCUGAGAGGAUGACCAGCCACACUGGAACUGAGACACGGUCCAGACUCCUACGGGAGGCAGCAGUGGGGAAUAUUGCACAAUGGGCGCAAGCCUGAUGCAGCCAUGCCGCGUGUGUGAAGAAGGCCUUCGGGUUGUAAAGCACUUUCAGCGGGGAGGAAGGCGUUGAGGUUAAUAACCUUGUCGAUUGACGUUACCCGCAGAAGAAGCACCGGCUAACUCCGUGCCAGCAGCCGCGGUAAUACGGAGGGUGCAAGCGUUAAUCGGAAUUACUGGGCGUAAAGCGCACGCAGGCGGUCUGUCAAGUCGGAUGUGAAAUCCCCGGGCUCAACCUGGGAACUGCAUUCGAAACUGGCAGGCUAGAGUCUUGUAGAGGGGGGUAGAAUUCCAGGUGUAGCGGUGAAAUGCGUAGAGAUCUGGAGGAAUACCGGUGGCGAAGGCGGCCCCCUGGACAAAGACUGACGCUCAGGUGCGAAAGCGUGGGGAGCAAACAGGAUUAGAUACCCUGGUAGUCCACGCCGUAAACGAUGUCGAUUUGGAGGUUGUGCCCUUGAGGCGUGGCUUCCGGAGCUAACGCGUUAAAUCGACCGCCUGGGGAGUACGGCCGCAAGGUUAAAACUCAAAUGAAUUGACGGGGGCCCGCACAAGCGGUGGAGCAUGUGGUUUAAUUCGAUGCAACGCGAAGAACCUUACCUGGUCUUGACAUCCACAGAACUUUCCAGAGAUGGAUUGGUGCCUUCGGGAACUGUGAGACAGGUGCUGCAUGGCUGUCGUCAGCUCGUGUUGUGAAAUGUUGGGUUAAGUCCCGCAACGAGCGCAACCCUUAUCCUUUGUUGCCAGCGGUCCGGCCGGGAACUCAAAGGAGACUGCCAGUGAUAAACUGGAGGAAGGUGGGGAUGACGUCAAGUCAUCAUGGCCCUUACGACCAGGGCUACACACGUGCUACAAUGGCAUAUACAAAGAGAAGCGACCUCGCGAGAGCAAGCGGACCUCAUAAAGUAUGUCGUAGUCCGGAUUGGAGUCUGCAACUCGACUCCAUGAAGUCGGAAUCGCUAGUAAUCGUAGAUCAGAAUGCUACGGUGAAUACGUUCCCGGGCCUUGUACACACCGCCCGUCACACCAUGGGAGUGGGUUGCAAAAGAAGUAGGUAG
RNAcentral lists this ribosomal RNA (1359 nucleotides) under Klebsiella pneumoniae. RNAcentral's name for it is "bacterial SSU rRNA". It matches the Rfam family "Bacterial small subunit ribosomal RNA", at positions 75 to 1433 of the family's 1533-position model. Lineage: Bacteria; Pseudomonadati; Pseudomonadota; Gammaproteobacteria; Enterobacterales; Enterobacteriaceae. The record is from RNAcentral.